RNAcentral lists this unclassified non-coding RNA (378 nucleotides) under uncultured Rickettsiales bacterium. Its description in RNAcentral is "contains 16S-23S intergenic spacer region". Lineage: Bacteria; Pseudomonadati; Pseudomonadota; Alphaproteobacteria; Rickettsiales. The record is from RNAcentral.
UCCUGCUUAACGCAGGCAGUUUCCUUAGAGUCCCCACCAUAACGUGUUGGUAACUAAGAAUGAGGGUUGCGCUCGUUGCGGGACUUAACCCAACAUCUCACGACACGAGCUGACGACAGCCAUGCAACACCUGUGUACCUGUGUAUUGCUACACCCAAUCCAUCUCUGGAAAGGUUCAAGUACAUGUCAAGGUCUGGUAAGGUUCUUCGCGUAGCAUCGAAUUAAACCACAUGCUCCACCGCUUGUGCGGGUCCCCGUCAAUUCCUUUGAGUUUUAAUCUUGCGACCGUACUCCCCAGGCGGGAUGCUUAACGCGUUAGCUGCAACACCGAAGGUAAACCUCCGACGUCUAGCAUCCAUCGUUUAGGGCGUGGACUAC